CGGGGGGCAGCAGUGGGGAAUUUUGGACAAUGGGGGAAACCCUGAUCCAGCAAUGCCGCGUGUGUGAAGAAGGCCUUCGGGUUGUAAAGCACUUUUGGCAGGAGCGAAACGGCUUGGGCUAAUACCUUGAGCUAAUGACGGUACCUGCAGAAUAAGCACCGGCUAACUACGUGCCAGCAGCCGCGGUAAUACGUAGGGUGCAAGCGUUAAUCGGAAUUACUGGGCGUAAAGCGAGCGCAGGCGGUUAUGUAAGACAGAUGUGAAAUCCCCGGGCUUAACCUGGGAACUGCAUUUGUGACUGCAUGGCUAGAGUGUGUCAGAGGGGGGUGGAAUUCCACGUGUAGCAGUGAAAUGCGUAGAUAUGUGGAGGAACACCGAUGGCGAAGGCAGCCCCCUGGGAUAACACUGACGCUCAUGCUCGAAAGCGUGGGGAGCAAACAGGAUUAGAUACCCCCGU
Molecule: ribosomal RNA, 457 nt
Filed under: uncultured Burkholderiales bacterium
Lineage: Bacteria; Pseudomonadati; Pseudomonadota; Betaproteobacteria; Burkholderiales
Description: bacterial SSU rRNA
Rfam family: Bacterial small subunit ribosomal RNA
Source: RNAcentral